GAUGAACGCUGGCGGCGUGCCUAAUACAUGCAAGUCGAGCGAACGGACGAGAAGCUUGCUUCUCUGAUGUUAGCGGCGGACGGGUGAGUAACACGUGGAUAACCUACCUAUAAGACUGGGAUAACUUCGGGAAACCGGAGCUAAUACCGGAUAAUAUUUUGAACCGCAUGGUUCAAAAGUGAAAGACGGUCUUGCUGUCACUUAUAGAUGGAUCCGCGCUGCAUUAGUUAGUUGGUAAGGUAACGGCUUACCAAGGCAACGAUGCAUAGCCGACCUGAGAGGGAGAACGGACACACUGGAACUGAGACUCGGUCCAGACUCCUACGGGAGGCAGCAGUAGGGAAUCUUACGCAAUGGGCGAAAGCCUGACAGAGCAACGCCGCGUGAGUGAUGAAGGUCUUCGGAUCGUAAAACUCUGUUAUUAGGGAAGAACAUAUGUGUAAGUAACUGUGCACAUCUUGACGGUACCGAAUCAGAAAGCCACGGCUAACUACGUG
This 497-nucleotide ribosomal RNA is filed under the name uncultured bacterium. RNAcentral describes it as "partial 16S ribosomal RNA". It matches the Rfam family "Bacterial small subunit ribosomal RNA", at positions 28 to 507 of the family's 1533-position model. The record is from RNAcentral.